This 390-nucleotide small RNA is filed under the name Histoplasma capsulatum. RNAcentral describes it as "hypothetical RNA". The record is from RNAcentral. RNAcentral also lists the same sequence under 1 other name. Lineage: Eukaryota; Fungi; Ascomycota; Eurotiomycetes; Onygenales; Ajellomycetaceae.
CGAACUCGAACUCGAACUAUUCUCUUAAUUCGACUCAUUUAAACUUCCGGCACGAAAGUUUUUUUUUUUUCCUUUUUGGAAAAGAGGAGAGAGAUACGACGUAUAUAUCGCGCCUAGGUUCAAAUAUAUAUGGGUUGCCUCUUCAUGCGUUCACGAGGACAAAGUGAUGGAGAGGAUUGUUUGCUUGAGCUGGGAAGGGCUAGGCUGGUGGUGUUAUUUUUGAGAUAUUUCUCUCUCUCUCUCUCUCUCGGAGGCAAGCAGCCAGGUAAGGCAACAGGCAACAGGCAAACAGGCAGGAUGCUGCAGCUGUUCCUGCACGGGCGUUGCCCCCUCCUCUCCGCCUUUCCCCCGGAAGAGAGAAAAAGCAACAAGCCCGCAGAGGGCAGCAAG